GGUUAAGCGACUAAGCGUACACGGUGGAUGCCCUGGCAGUCAGAGGCGAUGAAGGACGUGCUAAUCUGCGAUAAGCGUCGGUAAGGUGAUAUGAACCGUUAUAACCGGCGAUUUCCGAAUGGGGAAACCCAGUGUGAUUCGUCACACUAUCAUUAACUGAAUCCAUAGGUUAAUGAGGCGAACCGGGGGAACUGAAACAUCUAAGUACCCCGAGGAAAAGAAAUCAACCGAGAUUCCCCCAGUAGCGGCGAGCGAACGGGGAGCAGCCCAGAGCCUGAAUCAGUGUGUGUGUUAGUGGAAGCGUCUGGAAAGGCGCGCGAUACAGGGUGACAGCCCCGUACACAAAAAUGCACAUGCUGUGAGCUCGAUGAGUAGGGCGGGACACGUGGUAUCCUGUCUGAAUAUGGGGGGACCAUCCUCCAAGGCUAAAUACUCCUGACUGACCGAUAGUGAACCAGUACCGUGAGGGAAAGGCGAAAAGAACCCCGGCGAGGGGAGUGAAAAAGAACCUGAAACCGUGUACGUACAAGCAGUGGGAGCACAGAGCAAUCUGUGUGACUGCGUACCUUUUGUAUAAUGGGUCAGCGACUUAUAUUCUGUAGCAAGGUUAACCGAAUAGGGGAGCCGAAGGGAAACCGAGUCUUAACUGGGCGUUAAGUUGCAGGGUAUAGACCCGAAACCCGGUGAUCUAGCCAUGGGCAGGUUGAAGGUUGGGUAACACUAACUGGAGGACCGAACCGACUAAUGUUGAAAAAUUAGCGGAUGACUUGUGGCUGGGGGUGAAAGGCCAAUCAAACCGGGAGAUAGCUGGUUCUCCCCGAAAGCUAUUUAGGUAGCGCCUCGUGAAUUCAUCUCCGGGGGUAGAGCACUGUUUCGGCAAGGGGGUCAUCCCGACUUACCAACCCGAUGCAAACUGCGAAUACCGGAGAAUGUUAUCACGGGAGACACACGGCGGGUGCUAACGUCCGUCGUGAAGAGGGAAACAACCCAGACCGCCAGCUAAGGUCCCAAAGUCAUGGUUAAGUGGGAAACGAUGUGGGAAGGCCCAGACAGCCAGGAUGUUGGCUUAGAAGCAGCCAUCAUUUAAAGAAAGCGUAAUAGCUCACUGGUCGAGUCGGCCUGCGCGGAAGAUGUAACGGGGCUAAACCAUGCACCGAAGCUGCGGCAGCGACGCUUAUGCGUUGUUGGGUAGGGGAGCGUUCUGUAAGCCUGCGAAGGUGUGCUGUGAGGCAUGCUGGAGGUAUCAGAAGUGCGAAUGCUGACAUAAGUAACGAUAAAGCGGGUGAAAAGCCCGCUCGCCGGAAGACCAAGGGUUCCUGUCCAACGUUAAUCGGGGCAGGGUGAGUCGACCCCUAAGGCGAGGCCGAAAGGCGUAGUCGAUGGGAAACAGGUUAAUAUUCCUGUACUUGGUGUUACUGCGAAGGGGGGACGGAGAAGGCUAUGUUGGCCGGGCGACGGUUGUCCCGGUUUAAGCGUGUAGGCUGGUUUUCCAGGCAAAUCCGGAAAAUCAAGGCUGAGGCGUGAUGACGAGGCACUACGGUGCUGAAGCAACAAAUGCCCUGCUUCCAGGAAAAGCCUCUAAGCAUCAGGUAACAUCAAAUCGUACCCCAAACCGACACAGGUGGUCAGGUAGAGAAUACCAAGGCGCUUGAGAGAACUCGGGUGAAGGAACUAGGCAAAAUGGUGCCGUAACUUCGGGAGAAGGCACGCUGAUAUGUAGGUGAAGUCCCUCGCGGAUGGAGCUGAAAUCAGUCGAAGAUACCAGCUGGCUGCAACUGUUUAUUAAAAACACAGCACUGUGCAAACACGAAAGUGGACGUAUACGGUGUGACGCCUGCCCGGUGCCGGAAGGUUAAUUGAUGGGGUUAGCGCAAGCGAAGCUCUUGAUCGAAGCCCCGGUAAACGGCGGCCGUAACUAUAACGGUCCUAAGGUAGCGAAAUUCCUUGUCGGGUAAGUUCCGACCUGCACGAAUGGCGUAAUGAUGGCCAGGCUGUCUCCACCCGAGACUCAGUGAAAUUGAACUCGCUGUGAAGAUGCAGUGUACCCGCGGCAAGACGGAAAGACCCCGUGAACCUUUACUAUAGCUUGACACUGAACAUUGAGCCUUGAUGUGUAGGAUAGGUGGGAGGCUUUGAAGUGUGG
This 2143-nucleotide ribosomal RNA is filed under the name Escherichia coli. RNAcentral's name for it is "partial 23S ribosomal RNA". It matches the Rfam family "Bacterial large subunit ribosomal RNA", at positions 1 to 2167 of the family's 2925-position model. The record is from RNAcentral. Lineage: Bacteria; Pseudomonadati; Pseudomonadota; Gammaproteobacteria; Enterobacterales; Enterobacteriaceae.